UUAAUGAUAUUGAUCGGAAAAGUAGUUUUUAAUAAACUUCAAGAGAGGGUUUGUCACUGGCUGAAAGCAAACCUAAGAUUUAUUAGAAAUGAAAUGCAUCCGUGAAUCGGUAGGCUGAAAUUAGUAGGCUUACCCGGCUGGUAGCGUUAUAUACUUAGAAAGUGGAGUAAUUUUAUUACUCAAACAGAGUGGGACCACGAAGCCUUUCGUCUCUGAA
This 217-nucleotide non-coding RNA is filed under the name Desulfonispora thiosulfatigenes. RNAcentral describes it as "T-box sequence". It matches the Rfam family "T-box leader". From Rfam's summary of the family: Uncharged tRNA acts as the effector for transcription antitermination of genes in the T-box leader family. T-boxes are found upstream of many aminoacyl-tRNA synthetase genes and some amino acid biosynthetic genes usually in Gram-positive bacteria. The record is from RNAcentral. Lineage: Bacteria; Bacillati; Bacillota; Clostridia; Eubacteriales; Peptococcaceae.